This 22-nucleotide microRNA is filed under the name Scyliorhinus torazame (cloudy catshark). RNAcentral's name for it is "Sto-Novel-4_5p (mature (guide))". The record is from RNAcentral. Lineage: Eukaryota; Metazoa; Chordata; Chondrichthyes; Carcharhiniformes; Scyliorhinidae.
UACAGAGAGGACAUCUGAAACA